Molecule: unclassified non-coding RNA, 491 nt
Filed under: Hevea brasiliensis (rubber tree)
Lineage: Eukaryota; Viridiplantae; Streptophyta; Magnoliopsida; Malpighiales; Euphorbiaceae
Source: RNAcentral
GGAAGAAGUCGAGCAGAGCAAUUAUUGCAAAUAUUGAGAAAGGUGGAUCAGUAUGUUUCCUCUUCAUUGGACUACCAGAGGAAAAGAGGGUGUCUUGCAGCUCAUGAGCUACUUUUCAAGUUUCGGAUGAUCUGCAUCAGUGGAUACUGUGCACUAGGCUGUCGAGGAACUUGCACUCACAGAGAGAAAACCGACCGUGCUAUGCAUCACACCUUAUCUAAUUUACCUUCUGCAUUUGCUUUACCAAGCCGCGAUGCUUUGCGCUUGGGAGAUCGUACAAUGAUGUAUCUUCCACGAUGUGUAGAUACAAAUUCUGAAGUUCGGAAAGUUUCUGUUCAGAUCCUUCAUCUGUAUUUCAGUAUAUCUCUAUCGCUUCCAAGGCCUGUUAACUCUAGUUUCAGCAAUGACAUUGAGUUAUCCUAUAGUGCUUUGUCUUCCCUUGAAGAUGUUAUAUCUAUCCUACGAAGUGAUGCUUCAAUUGACCCAUCAGA